This 897-nucleotide ribosomal RNA is filed under the name Bacillus inaquosorum. RNAcentral's name for it is "bacterial SSU rRNA". It matches the Rfam family "Bacterial small subunit ribosomal RNA", at positions 8 to 885 of the family's 1533-position model. Lineage: Bacteria; Bacillati; Bacillota; Bacilli; Caryophanales; Bacillaceae. The record is from RNAcentral.
AGAGUUUGAUAUCUGGCUCAGGACGAACGCUGGCGGCGUGCCUAAUACAUGCAAGUCGAGCGGACAGAUGGGAGCUUGCUCCCUGAUGUUAGCGGCGGACGGGUGAGUAACACGUGGGUAACCUGCCUGUAAGACUGGGAUAACUCCGGGAAACCGGGGCUAAUACCGGAUGGUUGUUUGAACCGCAUGGUUCAAACAUAAAAGGUGGCUUCGGCUACCACUUACAGAUGGACCCGCGGCGCAUUAGCUAGUUGGUGAGGUAACGGCUCACCAAGGCAACGAUGCGUAGCCGACCUGAGAGGGUGAUCGGCCACACUGGGACUGAGACACGGCCCAGACUCCUACGGGAGGCAGCAGUAGGGAAUCUUCCGCAAUGGACGAAAGUCUGACGGAGCAACGCCGCGUGAGUGAUGAAGGUUUUCGGAUCGUAAAGCUCUGUUGUUAGGGAAGAACAAGUACCGUUCGAAUAGGGCGGUACCUUGACGGUACCUAACCAGAAAGCCACGGCUAACUACGUGCCAGCAGCCGCGGUAAUACGUAGGUGGCAAGCGUUGUCCGGAAUUAUUGGGCGUAAAGGGCUCGCAGGCGGUUUCUUAAGUCUGAUGUGAAAGCCCCCGGCUCAACCGGGGAGGGUCAUUGGAAACUGGGGAACUUGAGUGCAGAAGAGGAGAGUGGAAUUCCACGUGUAGCGGUGAAAUGCGUAGAGAUGUGGAGGAACACCAGUGGCGAAGGCGACUCUCUGGUCUGUAACUGACGCUGAGGAGCGAAAGCGUGGGGAGCGAACAGGAUUAGAUACCCUGGUAGUCCACGCCGUAAACGAUGAGUGCUAAGUGUUAGGGGGUUUCCGCCCCUUAGUGCUGCAGCUAACGCAUUAAGCACUCCGCCUGGGGAGACCGG